RNAcentral lists this non-coding RNA (963 nucleotides) under Trichomonas vaginalis G3. Its description in RNAcentral is "Eukaryotic large subunit ribosomal RNA". It matches the Rfam family "Eukaryotic large subunit ribosomal RNA", at positions 928 to 1950 of the family's 3401-position model. The record is from Rfam by way of RNAcentral. Lineage: Eukaryota; Parabasalia; Trichomonadida; Trichomonadidae.
AGACUCAUCGAACCACCUAUUAGCUGUUUCCUUCCGAAGUUUUCCCUCAGGAUAGCUGUAAUGCAUUUAGUAAGGGGAGUAGAGAUAUGGGUAGAGGUGCAGGGAGCCUUCGGGUUCUCAACUUAUUUCCAAACUUCGAACCUCCUUGUUAGGCAUUUACCUAACUGGAAAUGCUUAAAUGAAUUAGCGUUACAAGUGGGCUCUGACCGGUAAGCGGUCAUGGCGAAAUGGGAUGAACCAUACGUCUGAAUAAGGUGCCGAAAUGUACUAUCACUGAUACCAUAAAGGGAGUCCAUGUAUUUAGACAGCAGGUCGGUGCCCCUAAAAGCAGGUAUCCGCUAAAGAGUGUGUUAAAACUCACCUGCCGAAUACUAGGGCCCCGAAAAUGAAUGGCGCAUAUAGUACUACCGAUCUCAGACAUCAGUUCUAUUGAACUGAGAGUAGGGGGAUGUGGACAUUUUUGUGAAGGUGCAAUGUGAGUUGGACUGGAAGAAUGUCUAUUACAGAUCCUAAUUGAAGUAGCGAUUAUCCAGGCUUGUAUCCUGGGGGCUGAUGAGGAGUAGGGUUUCUGGACAACUUAAACAGAUCCAGAGUUAGUCGAUCCUAAUCUCAAUAAUGGGAGAAAGGGAGUACAGUUGAUAUUCUGUAACUGACAACAGUUCGCGGCAACGCAUACUAUUUUUCUCCGCCAAUCUUAUACCGUUGGUAGGGAUCUCUUUCCUACAUGACAGUACUAAUACCCAGGGAAACUGGUCAUCAGGCGAACUGCGGCGUUCUGCUGGCAAAACAUAGCUUCGGUUAUGUCAAUGGCUAUUGGAUUGGUCCAUGAAGCGAAAAAUAGUUUACUGUGUCACUCGUACCGAUAACCGCAUCAGGUCUUCUAGGUAAGUAGCCUAUGGCCAUUGAGGCAUGAUAGUUCAGGGAAUUCGGCCAAUUAGAGCUGUAACUUCGGGAUAAAGCUUG